Carassius auratus (goldfish) is the source of this 743-nucleotide non-coding RNA. Lineage: Eukaryota; Metazoa; Chordata; Actinopteri; Cypriniformes; Cyprinidae. The record is from the annotation of a RefSeq genome assembly.
CCAACUGAGCUGAAAUACAUGUUUAAUUCAUGUACAAAAACCUUGAAUAAUCAAAAUGUUUAAAGUCAUUAAUAAAUCCAUAAUAAUAUUCCAAUCCUGUCAUACACUGGCAGAUGAUAAACAGUCAAAAUAAUUGUAAAAAACAAAGAUUAGACAGUGUGAUGUGCAGAUACAAUGAUUGACAGGAUGAAAUGAAUGAGCAAACUUCAUUUAGAAGCUCAUUUAAAUACAGGAUCAGUUCAUUUGCAUAUUGCUCAGAUGCUUCAGUGCUCUGAGAGUGUUUAUAGUGCUGUGAGUUUAACACUUCAUCACUGACACACACAACAAUCUUCAUCAACAUGACCUUCAUCAUCAUCUUCAUCUGGACUCUCACAGCGUUUGCUCAAGAGAGUAGAGGACAGAUCAGCGUCACUCAGAGUCCCUCAACAGCAGCUCAACCAGGAGAAACAGUGAAGAUCAGCUGCAAAACCAGUAAAGAUGUGUUCAGUGAUAGUUUGGGGCAUCGCUUAGCCUGGUACUUACAGAAACCUGGAGAAGCUCCUAAACUCCUGAUUUAUGAUGCAAACACUCUUGAGUCAGGAACUCCAUCUAGAUUCAGUGGCAGUGGAUCUAACAGUGAUUUCACUCUGACCAUCAGUGGAGUCCAGACUGAAGAUGCUGGACAUUAUUACUGUCAGAGUUUUCACUGCAGAACAGAUUCUGAUGGUGAUUGUGUGGGUGACUAUGUAUGCAACUGUGAUUGA